This 285-nucleotide small nuclear RNA is filed under the name Jaculus jaculus (lesser Egyptian jerboa). Its description in RNAcentral is "7SK RNA (ENSJJAG00000006013.1)". It matches the Rfam family "7SK RNA". From Rfam's summary of the family: 7SK was discovered as an abundant small nuclear RNA in the mid-70s but a possible function has only recently been suggested. Two independent studies have found that 7SK RNA binds the CDK9/cyclin T complex (known as elongation factor P-TEFb). P-TEFb activates transcription by phosphorylating the C-terminal domain of RNA polymerase II. Lineage: Eukaryota; Metazoa; Chordata; Mammalia; Rodentia; Dipodidae. The record is from RNAcentral.
UGCUGACACUGGGUGGUCUGGCUGCGACAUCUGUCACCCCACUGACUGCCAGGGCUGAUUUGGCUGGCUAGGUGGGUGUCCCCUUCCUCCCUCUCCACUCCAUGUGCAUCCCAACCAAAGGUCAGUCAAAGAGGACGACAUAGAGGAGGACCAGUCUUCAGUCAAGGGUAUACGAGUAGCUGUGCUCCCCUGCAAGAAUCUCCAAACAAACUCUCUCAUUUAGUGAGAACAAAAGUUAACAGCAAGAGGGCUAACACCACUGUCAGGUCACAAGAAGUACACUAC